RNAcentral lists this ribosomal RNA (605 nucleotides) under uncultured archaeon. RNAcentral's name for it is "bacterial SSU rRNA". It matches the Rfam family "Archaeal small subunit ribosomal RNA", at positions 324 to 929 of the family's 1478-position model. The record is from RNAcentral.
UACGGGGUGCAGCAGGCGCGAAAACUUUACAAUGCUGGCAACAGCGAUAAGGGAACCUCGAGUGCCAGGUUACAAAUCUGGCUGUCGAGAUGCCUAAAAAGCAUUUCAUAGCAAGGGCCGGGCAAGACCGGUGCCAGCCGCCGCGGUAACACCGGCGGCUCGAGUGGUAACCGUUAUUAUUGGGUCUAAAGGGUCUGUAGCCGGCCGGAUAAGUCUCUUGAGAAAUCUGGCAGCUUAACUGUCAGGCUUUCAGGAGAUACUGUCUGGCUCGAGGCCGGGAGAGGUGAGAGGUACUUCAGGGGUAGGGGUGAAAUCUUGUAAUCCUUGAAGGACCACCAGUGGCGAAGGCGUCUCACCAGAACGGACCUGACGGCAAGGGACGAAAGCUAGGGGCACGAACCGGAUUAGAUACCCGGGUAGUCCUAGCCGUAAACGGUACUCGCUAGGUGUCGGCCACGGUGCGACCGUUGUCGGUGCCGUAGGGAAGCCGUGAAGCGAGCCACCUGGGAAGUACGGCCGCAAGGCUGAAACUUAAAGGAAUUGGCGGGGGAGCACCACAACGGGUGGAGCUUGCGGUUUAAUUGGAUUCAACGCCGGAAAUCUUA